RNAcentral lists this ribosomal RNA (718 nucleotides) under uncultured bacterium. Its description in RNAcentral is "bacterial SSU rRNA". It matches the Rfam family "Bacterial small subunit ribosomal RNA", at positions 771 to 1501 of the family's 1533-position model. The record is from RNAcentral.
AACAGGAUUAGAUACCCUGGUAGUCCACACUGUAAACGAUGAUAACUCGCUGUCGGCGAUACACAGUCGGUGGCCAAGCGAAAGCAUUAAGUUAUCCACCUGGGGAGUACGACCGCAAGGUUGAAACUCAGAGGAAUUGACGGGGGCCCGCACAAGCGGAGGAACAUGUGGUUUAAUUCGAUGAUACGCGAGGAACCUUACCCGGGCUCGAACGGUGCAUGAAUAUACGAGAGAUUGUAUAGUCCUUCGGGACAUGUAUCGAGGUGCUGCGUGGUUGUCGUCAGCUCGUGCCGUGAGGUGUCGGCUUAAGUGCCAUAACGAGCGCAACCCUUGUCAUUAGUCGCCAUCAGGUCAAGCUGGGGACUUUAAUGAGACUGCCACCGUAAGGUGUGAGGAAGGGGGGGAUGACGUCAAAUCAGCACGGCCCUUAUGUCCGGGGCGACACACGUGUUACAAUGGGAGGUACAGAGGGCAGCUAUCCGGUGACGGAAUGCUAAUCUCCAAAACCUUUCUCAGUUCGGAUUGGAGUCUGCAACUCGACUCCAUGAAGGUGGAUUCGCUAGUAAUCGCGCAUCAGCCAUGGCGCGGUGAAUACGUUCCCGGGCCUUGUACACACCGCCCGUCAAGCCAUGGAAGCUUGGGGUGCCUGAAGUUCGUGACCGCAAGGAGCGACCUAAGGCAAAACAGGUAACUGGGGCUAAGUCGUAACAAGGUAACC